CGUCUAGGCGGCCUGCUAAGUCUGGCGUGAAAGCUCCCGGCUCAACUGGGAGAGGGCGCCGGAGACUGGCCGGCUCGAGACUCGGAGGGGGGUGUGGAAUUCCCGGUGGAGUGGUGAAAUGCGUUGAGAUCGGGAGGAACACCCGUGGCGAAGGCGGCACCCUGGCCGAGGUCUGACGCUGAAGCGCGAGAGCGUGGGGAGCAAACG
Molecule: ribosomal RNA, 207 nt
Filed under: uncultured bacterium
Lineage: Bacteria
Description: partial 16S ribosomal RNA
Rfam family: Bacterial small subunit ribosomal RNA
Source: RNAcentral